Non-coding RNA from Pelobates cultripes (western spadefoot toad), 643 nucleotides. The record is from the annotation of a GenBank genome assembly. Lineage: Eukaryota; Metazoa; Chordata; Amphibia; Anura; Pelobatidae.
CCCACCAAGAACUAUACACUGAUCAAUGUAACUAUUACGCAAACCAUACAAUUAUCUACACUAUUAAUCAACUUAGACUAACCAAUCACAUAACAUUUCAGCAAUUUCAUCUCUAUAGUCAGUGGUUAUGGUAUGGUUAGUAACUAUUGUACAGUUAGACAAUUAUGGUUUUAGAGUUACAAUCUCAAUUAGUAAUAGUUAAGGUGUUACACAUACAAUGUUAAACAGUAAUUUUAGUAUUGUUCACGUAAUGUCAGUGGUUAUGGUACCGUGCCCAAUUUUACACUAUACACACUUUUUUACAAGUCCGCUAAACAGCAGAGCUCAAGCUUUCUAGCAGGACAUACAUUUCACCAAUUACAGCGUAUUUUAAAACUUUUACAGCAAACCCAACUAUUCUAACUGGCCAGCACCUUGAGGACUAGUGAACGGAAUGCACACCAGAAUUCAACUAGCCUACGCUGCCCAGGCACCACGAUCUAGUGGACGGAAUGUACACCAAAAUCCACUUAGUCUAUAUAUUCUAUCUAUGAUCUAGUGGCUGAAUGUACAACAAAACACACUUAGUCAAGAUAGUGUGAGAGCUAGCAGACGGAAUAUACAACAGAAUCUUGCUUAGUCUUGCCGUUAUUCCCUGAUCUAG